This 309-nucleotide long non-coding RNA is filed under the name Helianthus annuus (common sunflower). RNAcentral's name for it is "sRNA HanXRQr2_Chr03g0136671". Lineage: Eukaryota; Viridiplantae; Streptophyta; Magnoliopsida; Asterales; Asteraceae. The record is from RNAcentral.
UUUGUAAAAAUCGAUGUUAUCACUAAUAUGUGUAUUUCUUGCUUUGCCUUCGAAUAAUUGAUCAAUCAGUUGGACAUUCUGCACAAAAUGUAUAUCAAAUGCUUCUUCCUUAUAAUAUCGGAUUAAUUCCAAAAGAGUUUGCUGGGGAAAAUAAAUCGAUUUUCGGAUGCAAGGUUAUGAGAUUCCUCAAGAAUGGUUAGGCUGAUACGGUUGGAAGAAAAUGGAAUUGAUUUAAUCUUAUGUGCAAAUGAAACUAACUCAUAAUCUACACAAUCAAUGAUAAGGUGUUCUUUAUAGAACCCAUGUAAU